This 253-nucleotide ribosomal RNA is filed under the name uncultured bacterium. RNAcentral describes it as "partial 16S ribosomal RNA". It matches the Rfam family "Bacterial small subunit ribosomal RNA", at positions 524 to 776 of the family's 1533-position model. The record is from RNAcentral.
UACGAAGGGGGCUAGCGUUGCUCGGAAUCACUGGGCGUAAAGCGCACGUAGGCGGAUUGCUAAGUCAGGGGUGAAAUCCUGGAGCUCAACUCCAGAACUGCCUUUGAUACUGGCGAUCUUGAGUCCGGGAGAGGUGAGUGGAACUGCGAGUGUAGAUGUGAAAUUCGUAGAUAUUCGCAAGAACACCAGUGGCGAAGGCGGCUCACUGGCCCGGUACUGACGCUGAGGUGCGAAAGCGUGGGGAGCAAACAGG